Molecule: ribosomal RNA, 504 nt
Filed under: uncultured bacterium
Lineage: Bacteria
Description: bacterial SSU rRNA
Rfam family: Bacterial small subunit ribosomal RNA
Source: RNAcentral
AUCAUGGCUCAGGAUGAACGCUAGCUACAGGCUUAACACAUGCAAGUCGAGGGGAAACGAUAUUGGAAGCUUGCUUCCGAUAGGCGUCGACCGGCGCACGGGUGAGUAACGCGUAUCCAACCUGCCCAUCACUUGGGAAUAACCUUGCGAAAGUAAGACUAAUGCCCAAUGACAUUUAUAGAAGGCAUCUGAAAUGAAUUAAAGAUUUAUCGGUGAUGGAUGGGGAUGCGUCUGAUUAGCUUGUUGGCGGGGUAACGGCCCACCAAGGCGACGAUCAGUAGGGGUUCUGAGAGGAAGGUCCCCCACAUUGGAACUGAGACACGGUCCAAACUCCUACGGGAGGCAGCAGUGAGGAAUAUUGGUCAAUGGGCGAGAGCCUGAGCCAGCCAAGUAGCGUGCAGGAAGACGGCCCUAUGGGUUGUAAACUGCUUUUAUAGGGGAAUAAAGUGAGCCACGUGUGGUUUUUUGCAUGUACCCUAUGAAUAAGGACCGGCUAAUUCCGUG